This is a long non-coding RNA of Rhineura floridana, 343 nucleotides long. RefSeq lists it as uncharacterized. The record is from RefSeq and is a predicted model, not a curated record. Lineage: Eukaryota; Metazoa; Chordata; Lepidosauria; Squamata; Rhineuridae. The transcript has 3 exons.
GAUGGCGACCUAGCAGGACGCUAAGUCUGGAGCUCCGCUUUUUAUUUAAUUUUUAGAGCUCUUAUCUCAAGGCUAAGCAACUUGCUUUGCCUCACCAGAGAUUUUAUACCAACUAUAUUUUUCUCAAGACUUUCCUCCUCCGUCAUCAAUUACUGACUUAUCUCGACAUUCUUUUGCUCUUUUUGAUCUGCGUCUGCUGAGGAGAGCCAAUAAUAGAGACCCCUUUUAUAGAUCUUAGACCCCAUCUGAUUUCUCCCAUUCUGCAAGAUCUCCCUGGGAUUGUUUGGCGUAUGAAGGGAACAGGCUUUUCAUUGUUUCGCUACCCAUAAGAAGAGCCCUGCUG